AGCUCCAAAAGCGUAUAUUAAAGUUGUUGCAGUUAAAAAGCUCGUAGUUGAACCUUGGGCGUGUGCCGCCGGUCCACUUUGGUGCGCACUGACCGGCGCACGCCUUUCCUUCUGGGGAGCGCAAGCAAACCAGGACGUUUACUUUGAAAAAAUUAGAGUGUUCAAAGCAGGCCUUUGCUCGAAUAUAUUAGCAUGGAAUAAUAGAAUAGGACGCAUGGUUCUAUUUUGUUGGUUUCUAGGACCAUCGUAAUGAUUAAUAGGGACGGACGGGGGCAUCAGUAUUCCGUAGUCAGAGGUGAAAUUCUUGGAUUUACGGAAGACUAACUACUGCGAAAGCAUUUGCCAAGCACGUUUUCA
Molecule: ribosomal RNA, 357 nt
Filed under: uncultured eukaryote
Lineage: Eukaryota
Description: SSU rRNA
Rfam family: Eukaryotic small subunit ribosomal RNA
Source: RNAcentral